RNAcentral lists this ribosomal RNA (254 nucleotides) under uncultured bacterium. RNAcentral describes it as "partial 16S ribosomal RNA". It matches the Rfam family "Bacterial small subunit ribosomal RNA", at positions 524 to 776 of the family's 1533-position model. The record is from RNAcentral.
UACGGGGGGGGCAAGCGUUGUUCGGAUUUACUGGGCGUAAAGGGCGCGUAGGCGGUCAGCACAAGUCAGUUGUGAAAUCUCCGGGCUUAACUCGGAAAGGUCAACUGAUACUGUGCGACUAGAGUGCAGAAGGGGCAACUGGAAUUCUCGGUGUAGCGGUGAAAUGCGCAGAUAUCAGGAGGAACACCGGUGGCGAAGGCGGGUCUCUGGGCCGAUAUUGACGCUGAGAAGCGAAAGCGAGGGGAGCGAACAGG